UUGACCUCGAAUCAGGUAGGGAUACCCGCUGAACUUAAGCAUAUCAAUAAGCGGAGGAAAAGAAACCAACAGGGAUUACCUCAGUAACGGCGAGUGAAGCGGUAACAGCUCAAAUUUGAAAUCUGGCUCCUUCGGAGUCCGAGUUGUAAUUUGUAGAAGAUGCUUUGGGUUGCAGGUUCGGUCUAAGUUCCUUGGAACAGGGCGUCAUAGAGGGUGAGAAUCCCGUCUGCGGCCGUGACCUGUGCCCGUGUAAAGCUCUUUCGACGAGUCGAGUUGUUUGGGAAUGCAGCUCAAAAUGGGUGGUAAAUUUCAUCUAAAGCUAAAUAUUGGCCAGAGACCGAUAGCGCACAAGUAGAGUGAUCGAAAGAUGAAAAGCACUUUGGAAAGAGAGUUAAACAGUACGUGAAAUUGUUGAAAGGGAAGCGCUUGCAACCAGACUUGGGCGUCGUGGAUCAUCCGAGGUUCUCCUCGGUGCACUCGACGACGCACAGGCCAGCAUCGGUUUGGAUGGCUGGAAAAAGGCCCUAGAAAUGUAGCUCCUCGCGGGGAGUGUUAUAGUCUAGGGCGUAAUGCAGCCCAUCUGGACCGAGGACCGCGCUUCGGCUAGGAUGCUGGCGUAAUGGUUGUAAGCGACCCGUCUUGAAACACGGACCAAGGAGUCUAACAUCUAUGCGAGUGUUUGGGCGUUAAACCCAUACGCGGAAUGAAAGUGAACGUAGGUGAGAACCCGUAUGGGGGCAUCAUCGACCGAUCCUGAA
This 758-nucleotide ribosomal RNA is filed under the name Neoerysiphe galeopsidis. RNAcentral's name for it is "eukaryotic LSU rRNA". It matches the Rfam family "Eukaryotic large subunit ribosomal RNA", at positions 1 to 775 of the family's 3401-position model. Lineage: Eukaryota; Fungi; Ascomycota; Leotiomycetes; Helotiales; Erysiphaceae. The record is from RNAcentral.